RNAcentral lists this ribosomal RNA (253 nucleotides) under uncultured bacterium. RNAcentral describes it as "partial 16S ribosomal RNA". It matches the Rfam family "Bacterial small subunit ribosomal RNA", at positions 524 to 776 of the family's 1533-position model. The record is from RNAcentral.
UACGUAGGGUGCAAGCGUUGUCCGGAAUUAUUGGGCGUAAAGAGCUCGUAGGCGGUUUGUCGCGUCUGCUGUGAAAACUCAGGGCUUAACCCUGAGCCUGCAGUGGGUACGGGCAGACUAGAGUGUGGUAGGGGAGGUCGGAAUUCCUGGUGUAGCGGUGGAAUGCGCAGAUAUCAGGAGGAACACCGGUGGCGAAGGCGGAUCUCUGGGCCAUAACUGACGCUGAGGAGCGAAAGCAUGGGGAGCGAACAGG